Molecule: ribosomal RNA, 891 nt
Filed under: uncultured Prevotella sp.
Lineage: Bacteria; Pseudomonadati; Bacteroidota; Bacteroidia; Bacteroidales; Prevotellaceae
Description: partial 16S ribosomal RNA
Rfam family: Bacterial small subunit ribosomal RNA
Source: RNAcentral
GAUGAACGCUAGCGGCAGGCCUAACACAUGCAAGUCGAGGGAGAGGUUAUCUUCGGGUAACCAAAACCGGCGCACGGGUGGGUAACGCGUAUACAAUCUGCCUUUCACAUAGGGAUAGCCCGAAGAAAUUUGGAUUAAUACCUAAUGGUAUAUAAGAGCGGCAUCGUUUUUAUAUUAAAGCUACGGUGGUGAAAGAUGAGUAUGCGUUCUAUUAGCUAGUUGGAGAGGUAACGGCUCCCCAAGGCGACGAUAGAUAGGGGCUCUGAGAGGGAUGUCCCCCACACUGGUACUGAGAUACGGACCAGACUCCUACGGGAGGCAGCAGUGAGGAAAUUGGCAAUGGUCGGAAGCUGAUCCAGCAUGCCGCGUGCAGGAUGAGGUCCUAUGGAUUGUAAACUGCUUUUGUAAGGGAAGAAAAAGGAGUACGUGUACUUUUGAUGACGGUACCUUACGAAUAAGCAUCGGCUAAACUCCGUGCCCAGCAGCCGCGGGUAAUACGGAGGGAUGCGAGGCGUUUUUCCGGAAUUCUUUGGUUUUAAAGGGGCCGGUAGGCGGGCUUGAUAAGUCAGAGGUGAAAAGCGCUUAGCUCAACUAAGCAACUGCCUUUUGAAACUGUCAGUCUUGAAUUGAUUGUGAAGUAGUUGGAAAGUGUAGUGAGGCGGUGAAAUGCUUAGAUAUUACACCGAACACCGAUAGCAAAAGCCAUAUUUACUUGCAUUUUAUUGACCGUGAGGGAGGAGAGCGGGGGGAGCGAACAGGAAUAAGAUACCCCUGGUAGUCUAGGGCGAUUUCAAGUUGAUAUUUAGUUUAUCGGGGCCGCCCCCCCCCCGGCCCCCCCGUAUCAAUUUUUGGUCUGGGGGGGAGUAUAAAAUGUAAAAAAAAAAAAAAAUU